GACGAACGCUGGCGGCGUGCUUAACACAUGCAAGUCGAACGGAAAGGCCCUGCUUUUGUGGGGUGCUCGAGUGGCGCACGGGUGAGUAACACGUGAGUAACCUGCCCUUGACUUUGGGAUAACUUCAGGAAACUGGGGCUAAUACCGGAUAGGAGCUCCUGCUGCAUGGUGGGGGUUGGAAAGUUUCGGCGGUUGGGGAUGGACUCGCGGCUUAUCAGCUUGUUGGUGGGGUAGUGGCUUACCAAGGCUUUGACGGGUAGCCGGCCUGAGAGGGUGACCGGCCACAUUGGGACUGAGAUACGGCCCAGACUCCUACGGGAGGCAGCAGGGGGGAAUAUUGCACAAUGGGCGGAAGCCUGAUGCAGCAACGCCGCGUGCGUGAUGACGGCCUUCGGGUUGUAAACCGCUGUCGCCUGUGACGAAGCGUGAGUGACGGUAAUGGGUAAAGAAGCACCGGCUAACUACGUG
RNAcentral lists this ribosomal RNA (468 nucleotides) under uncultured bacterium. Its description in RNAcentral is "partial 16S ribosomal RNA". It matches the Rfam family "Bacterial small subunit ribosomal RNA", at positions 28 to 507 of the family's 1533-position model. The record is from RNAcentral.